This 1080-nucleotide long non-coding RNA is filed under the name Salvator merianae (Argentine black and white tegu). RNAcentral describes it as "lncRNA (ENSSMRG00000016010.1)". Lineage: Eukaryota; Metazoa; Chordata; Lepidosauria; Squamata; Teiidae. The record is from RNAcentral.
CAAAGGACAUCUCGCUUUCCCCCUCCUCACAUAAUUCCCCCCUUACUACCUAGACGGAGAGAGAGUCUGCAAAAUAGAACCCCUGGUGUUAAAAGAGGCGAGGAAGAGAGGAAACAUAGUGGGGUGGUGGGAGGAGGGGGAGGAGGAGGAGGAGGAAUUUGCCAAAGCAGGAGGAGGAAGAGGAGGAGAGAAAGAAAAGAGAGAGGGAGCGAGAAGCCCACACACCACACAAAAGAUUUCGGGGGCCGGGACUGGCGAAAGGAAGCCAGCGCUGUCAGCCUUCUGUCCCCCCACCCCGGCGUGGGAACCACCCCCACCCCCCCAGUGAAGAGGCGCUGCCGAGGGCGCCGCCGCUCUUGGAUCGCUAAGAGUCGGGCGUUCCGGCGUUCCGGCCGCGUCCUUCCUUCCGUUGCCUUGCUUCCCGGUGCAGACAGCAGCAGCAGCAGCAGCAGCAGCGGCGGCAGCAGCAAGCCCAACAAAGGCGCUGAAUCAGUUGGCAGCGAGAGGGCUGGCGAGCACGGCUUAGAGGCUCGGCCGAGGAACCCAAGAUGUCAGUGCGGUGCCGCCAAGGUCCAGGGCUUCGGGAAAGGCGAAUCAGACCGAAGGCGCUUUCGCGCUAGACAGAGGGACGGCGAGGGACAUCGUGUGCGCUUCCGUGGGUUUAUUAAGAGGCUCAGGACUGCCAGACCCGAAGGGCACCUUCCUCCGCUUCCUCUCAAGCAAGCAAACGGAUCAGCCGUGGCCAGGAUCCUCGCAAAAACACCCCCACUCCAGCAAGAGGAACCGGACCGUCCUCCAUCCGUCUCCUUGCAUUUUGAGCGCGCCCACAUUCGAUUUGGACGGAGACCGCCGCGCCUGCCUUUGCUCCUUGGAUGGGGCUCCUUCCGUGGCUGGUGGAGAGAGGCAGGAAGAGAUCGGGGGCUCCCCGUCGGGGACUUCUGGAAGGGGCAAAGGCGGAAGGGCUUCCCGAGCUGCUCUGGAUGGCCAGCUGCAAGGCAGGGAUGCUUCUUUACCGCUGACUCCCGUGUCCCUUCCUCCUGCCCCCCCCCCCGUUGCCUCGCCUGGCACCGUAUUGAUUGA